RNAcentral lists this ribosomal RNA (239 nucleotides) under uncultured Glomeromycotina. RNAcentral describes it as "partial small subunit ribosomal RNA". The stretch from base 47 to 239 matches the Rfam family "Eukaryotic small subunit ribosomal RNA", at positions 692 to 886 of the family's 1831-position model. Lineage: Eukaryota; Fungi; Glomeromycota. The record is from RNAcentral.
GGAUCUAUCCAUUGGUCGGGCCUCACGGUCCGUACUGGUGUUAUGGAUUCCUACCUUCUGAAUAACCGGGAUGUCAUUAAUUUGGUGUGCCGGGGAAGCAGGACUGUUACCUUGAAAAAAUUAGAGUGCUUAAAGCAGGCUUUUGCCUGAAUACAUUAGCAUGGAAUAAUGAAAUAGGACGCAUGAUUCUAUUUUGUUGGUUUCUAGGAUCACCGUAAUGAUUAAUAGGGAUAGUUGGG